GACGAACGCUGGCGGCGUGCUUAACACAUGCAAGUCGACAUGAGUGGCGGACGGGUGAGUAAUGCCUGGGAAUCUGCCUGAUAGAGGGGGAUAACGUCUGGAACCGGGCGCUAAUACCGCAUACUAUCAGAUGAGCCCAGGUAGGAUUAGCUAGUUGGUGGGGUAACGGCGUACCAAGGCGACGAUCCCUAGCUGGUCUGAGAGGAUGAUCAGGCACACUGGAACUGAGACACGGUCCAGACUCCUACGUGAGGCAGCAGUGGGGAAUAUUGGACAAUGGGCGAAAGCCUGAUCCAGCCAUGCCGCGGGUGUGAAGAAGGUCUUCGGAUUGUAAAGCACUUUAAGUUGGGAGGCGUUACCAACAGAAAAAGCACCGGCUAACUACGUGCCAGCAGCCGCGGUAAUAC
This 407-nucleotide ribosomal RNA is filed under the name uncultured bacterium. RNAcentral describes it as "partial 16S ribosomal RNA". It matches the Rfam family "Bacterial small subunit ribosomal RNA", at positions 28 to 526 of the family's 1533-position model. The record is from RNAcentral.